UGAGAGACAGGUAGUACGUUACCGCUUCGUUUAUUUCAUUUAUAGAAAUAAACUUAGCUGAAAACAUGAAUAUAUAGAAUUCAAAUUUUUAGGACCUUAGAUACCAAUCACCAAACUCUUUAGCACUUGUGAUAGUGACAGUCGGUGCGACUUCCACAAAUAUUAAUAUUGAGAAAUGUUAGGAAAGGAUGGAGGAAGAGUAGCUUUCAUAGGUGAGUUGUAUGACGCAUCUUGCCCCACUUUUCAAGGAAAAU
This 254-nucleotide long non-coding RNA is filed under the name Ananas comosus (pineapple). RNAcentral describes it as "long non-coding RNA (ACOM_LNC043651)". Lineage: Eukaryota; Viridiplantae; Streptophyta; Magnoliopsida; Poales; Bromeliaceae. The record is from RNAcentral.